UGCAAGUCGAACGAAGUAGCAAUACUUAGUGGCAGACGGGUGAGUAACAUGUGGGUAUCUACCCUUUGGCCUGGAAUAACACGAGGAAACUUGUGCUAAUACCGGAUAAGUCUUUACGGAGAAAGCUUUAUGCACCAUUGGAUGAGCCCGCACUUGAUUAGUUUGUUGGUAGGGUAAUGGCCUACCAAGACUAUGAUCAAUAGCUGAUUUGAGAGGAUGAUCAGCCACAUUGGGACUGAGACACGGCCCAAACUCCUACGGGAGGCAGCAGUGGGGAAUCUCGCACAAUGGAGGAAACUCUGAUGCAGCGAUGCCGCGUGAGUGAAGAAGGCCUUUGGGUUGUAAAGCUCUUUCGUCGGGGAAGAAAAUGACUGUACCCGAAUAAGAAGGUCCGGCUAACUUCGUGCCAGCAGCCGCGGUAAUACGAAGGGACCUAGCGUAGUUCGGAAUUACUGGGCUUAAAGAGUUCGUAGGUGGUUGAAAGAGUUGGUGGUGAAAUCCCAGAGCUUAACUCUGGAACUGCCAUCAAAACUUUUCAGCUAGAGUAUGAUAGAGGAAAGCAGAAUUUCUAGUGUAGAGGUGAAAUUCGUAGAUAUUAGAAAGAAUACCAAUUGCGAA
This 618-nucleotide ribosomal RNA is filed under the name uncultured bacterium. RNAcentral describes it as "bacterial SSU rRNA". It matches the Rfam family "Bacterial small subunit ribosomal RNA", at positions 56 to 719 of the family's 1533-position model. The record is from RNAcentral.